Molecule: ribosomal RNA, 81 nt
Filed under: Aegilops tauschii subsp. strangulata
Lineage: Eukaryota; Viridiplantae; Streptophyta; Magnoliopsida; Poales; Poaceae
Source: RNAcentral
UUUUGCGAUAUGUUUUAGCUCGCUUGGGCGAGAGUAGUACUUGCAUGGGUGACCUCCUGGGAAGUCCUCGUGUUGCAUUCC